RNAcentral lists this long non-coding RNA (1138 nucleotides) under Papio anubis (olive baboon). Its description in RNAcentral is "lncRNA (ENSPANG00000039801.1)". Lineage: Eukaryota; Metazoa; Chordata; Mammalia; Primates; Cercopithecidae. The record is from RNAcentral.
CGGGAGGCUUCCCGUGGCUAAAGUGGAGGAGGACGGGGGGGGCCAGCCUCAUCCCACUGCCAGUUGACCCUCAGUUCCUCAAAGACAGUGAGUGAGGCCAGGCCUCGGGCUGCCUCUUCGGGUCACACCCAGUGUGAAAAGGCAGCAGAUAAACCAGGGCAGACACUCGCCCCCAGGACUGGCUCCCCCAGAUCCCAGGCCUCUAGGCCCCGUAGACGCAAGUUUCCCCUGCUGCCACGCAGGCGAGGGGAGCCUCUGAUGCUGCCACCUCCCUUAAAGCUGGGGUUCCGGGUCACUGCUGAAGACCUGGACCUGGAGAAGGAGGCGGCGUUGCAGUGCAUCAACAGUGUACUGCGGGGUGAGGCCAAGGCCAUCUGGGACUGCAGACCCUCACGGCCUUCCCACACUUUGUCUUCACUUGCAACAGGGGCUUCUGGUCUGCCUGCUGUUUCUAAAGCACCCAAUAUGGAUGCACAGCAGGAGAGACACAAGUCCCAAGACUCCUGGGGCCCGGUGCCCCCCUAGCAUCUGCUGCAGAGGCUCCCUCUACAGCUCCUGUGUCUGGGAAGAAACACAGACCAUCAGGCCCCCUGUUCUUCUCGGAUCCCCUUCCUGCCACCUCUUCCAACUCCCAGGACUCAGCCCAGGUCACCUCGCUGAUUCCUGCCCCCUUGCCAGCUGCAAGCAUGGAGGGCAGCAUGAGAAGCCCAAGGCCUGGCACUUCUGGAGCCAGUUCCAGCUCUGCAGCCACACCCACGGGCUUUGGGAGCAGAGAGCCAGCCCCAGCUCUGAGUUCCCUCAGAAGAAAACAGAGGUGGUGAAAAGGCUGGACUCAGCAGCAACACCAAAUCCCGGACCAAGCAGAAACCACCCAAGACUGAAGGGCUCGUGCCAGAGCGGUGGCCACAGAGAUGGGGAUUGCUACAUUGCCCAGACUGGUCUCAAACACCUGGGUUCGGUUAUCCUGCCUUGGCCUCCCAAAGAUUACAGAGGACUGAAACAGCAGGUGCUGUUUCAAUACCACCACCGAGAGAGACAGAGGGGCUGUGCCAUGCUGGAGUCCUCAGGAAGAGAGUGACCUCGACCCUGGCUGUGCUGCAAGCUGACUCCAGCCCUGGUACUUCCGAGUCUCAGUGGC